CCUACGGGUGGCUGCAGUGGGGAAUAUUGGACAAUGGGGGGAACCCUGAUCCAGCCAUGCCGCGUGUGUGAAGAAGGCCCUCGGGUUGUAAAGCACUUUCAGUGAGGAAGAACGCCUGGUGGUUAAUACCCAUCAGGAAAGACUUCACUCACAGAAGAAGCACCGGCUAACUCCGUGCCAGCAGCCGCGGUAAUACGGAGGGUGCGAGCGUUAAUCGGAAUUACUGGGCGUAAAGCGCGCGUAGGUGGCUUGAUAAGCCGGUUGUGAAAGCCCCGGGCUCAACCUGGGAACGGCAUCCGGAACUGUCAAGCUAGAGUGCAGGAGAGGAAGGUAGAAUUCCCGGUGUAGCGGUGAAAUGCGUAGAGAUCGGGAGGAAUACCAGUGGCGAAGGCGGCCUUCUGGACUGACCCUGACACUGAGGUGCGAAAGCGUGGGUAGCAAACAGGAUUAGAUACCCUGGUAGUC
RNAcentral lists this ribosomal RNA (465 nucleotides) under Vreelandella stevensii. Its description in RNAcentral is "partial 16S ribosomal RNA". It matches the Rfam family "Bacterial small subunit ribosomal RNA", at positions 338 to 795 of the family's 1533-position model. Lineage: Bacteria; Pseudomonadati; Pseudomonadota; Gammaproteobacteria; Oceanospirillales; Halomonadaceae. The record is from RNAcentral.